Molecule: long non-coding RNA, 593 nt
Organism: Dromaius novaehollandiae (emu)
Lineage: Eukaryota; Metazoa; Chordata; Aves; Casuariiformes; Dromaiidae
Exons: 3
Source: RefSeq, a predicted model, not a curated record
CCAGUUGUAGUAGUCCUUAGUGCAAAGAAUGAAUACAUACAAUUGCAGCAAGACAUCUGUGCUGAUUAUUACUGUAGAGCUGCUGCCCUAUGAGAGGGAAAUACUUGUGGUUAUAAGUGUAACCCUUGUUUCCUUCUCUCAUUUACAGAUAUACAAAAGUCUGGCAGUGCUGUCGGGAUAGUCACUGGACAUUUAAAAAUUUUUUUUGGAAACUAGAAGGUUCUUAGCUUUAAAAGGUUGAGAAACAAUGCUGAAGACACUGUGAUUCUAAUCUUUGACCUUCUACUACCUACUGAUGGGCUGUGAGUCAUCUCUGAAGACUUGUAUUUAUGGCUCCAUAAAGAACAUAUCUGGAAUCCCAACCAUGAUCAGGGAAAAAGUUUCAGAAACCCCCAGGAACCAACAUGGGAGAAAGCAGUGCCAGAAAGAAACUGCAUGGUAAACAUGCCCCUGGAGUCUUGGAAUACUAACACGAAAAGAGAAGUAGGUUUAGGAAAGCAGACUGGUGCAUGAAGGAGAGAAAUUAGAAGUGCCUUCCCAUACAAAUAUUCACAUUCCUGACUGGAAGCUCCUGGGAAGUUAAUGAGAGUGUC